AUGUUGCCUAUGAUGGUUUAUAAAUAUACUUUGAGUAUAAUGCUUUGAAAAAAAUUUAAAUCUGAGGCACUUG
Lactuca sativa (garden lettuce) is the source of this 73-nucleotide small nucleolar RNA. The record is from RefSeq and is a predicted model, not a curated record. Lineage: Eukaryota; Viridiplantae; Streptophyta; Magnoliopsida; Asterales; Asteraceae.